Molecule: long non-coding RNA, 232 nt
Filed under: Brassica rapa (field mustard)
Lineage: Eukaryota; Viridiplantae; Streptophyta; Magnoliopsida; Brassicales; Brassicaceae
Description: long non-coding RNA (BRAP_LNC005424)
Source: RNAcentral
GGAAGGAUAAAUUUUUUUCUUUUUUUUUAAAACCAUAUAAAUACAAAAAUAAAAAUAUGCAAUAACUUUUUUAAAAUAAAAUUAUAAAAAUACUAAAAUAUAUCUAUUAUAUUUUAAUUAAUAUUAUAAAAUUUUAAAAUAAAAAUAUUUUGUAUAAUUUUAUAAAUUUAAAACUAUAACUUUGAAAAUAUAAUUUACAUAUUUAUUAUAAUAUUAUGAUUUUUGAUAUUUU